Molecule: long non-coding RNA, 2891 nt
Filed under: Triticum aestivum (bread wheat)
Lineage: Eukaryota; Viridiplantae; Streptophyta; Magnoliopsida; Poales; Poaceae
Description: long non-coding RNA (TAES_LNC017955)
Source: RNAcentral
CCCACCUCAGGCGGCUCAGCCCCGACCUCGCCGACACACACCUCGCAGCUCGCCUAGACCGACCCCACUGAGCACCCCACCCAGCCCUCUCGCAACCCCUUGCUGCAGCCACCAACGACGGCCGAUUCCGGUGAGCCCCGAGGUCUAUGGCUAGCGUGCAGCUCAGCCCCGACCUCGCCUCUCUGCGCUCCGUCUUCCCCUUCGGCAAAAUCUGCCGCACGCGGCCUCCAUCGCUCGUGCCCCACCCCUACCUGCGAAUAGGGUUUCAGGCACGGCGCCGCUUACGUUGCCAGCGCAGCUCUGGUGUCCAGCUCCUCCGGCAGCGUCCCGUCAUCCCCUCUCUGCGGCGGUUGUGCAUGGCAUCCCCAUGGUGAGCUCCUCUCCUUCCUCCGUGUCACUUGGACCAAAAUUUAGGAUAUGUAAAAUCAGUUUAGGAUCUGCAAAAUCAAAAUAAAUUGAUCCAAAAACUUGAAAAGAUAACGUUGUCAUCAAGAGAAAAUAGUCCAUGGUCUUUGUUCAUAUGAAUACCACAAUUAGCCAAUGCUUUGCUGCGAUGUUAGAACUCACAGCUUGCCGUAGAUGAGAUUGUCGUCGUACAUCGGACAGCAAAGCGAGCACGUACACAACUAGCUAAGCAGGAAAGCAGGUAGGUGGAUGCUUUUCACGUAGGCUAGCUUAUGAAGCGAACUAAUCUCCGACGGCUAAGUUAAUCGAACUGUAGAGACGAGAUAAACACAACAGAACAAGCACGCACAAGAUUGAUCUUUUUUCCUCUCUGCUAUAGCUUCCUAGAGGCUUUUCUCCUUUAUUUGUAAUAGCUAUUUAAGGACUCCAUGACCUAUACGUAUUAGUAUUCUAGGACUAAACCGACUAUGACUCUUAUCAGUUAUCACGUAUAUCACUAAAACUCUAACCAAACGUACUAAAUUUGGAAUAUCUAAUAUGCGAGUUGUGAUGCCCAAAUCGGAUUGAUUCAGCUAGUAGUUCAGUAAGAACAGAUUGAUUAUUUCAUAUGAAUACUUCACUGUUUCAGGAACAAUUUCACUUGAAUAGUCAUGCUAAUGUUCCAGUAUUAUUGGUUUGUAGUUUAUUGUUUAUAAAAUCAUUUUCAUGUACAAAAGAUUCAAGUUUCCCUUUUUCUCUUAGAAACUAAAAGAUUCAAAGGAGUAAAUUAAGAAUACUGUAUUCUUAUUACCUCGUGAGUAGCUAGCAACACUGAACCUUCAGUAUCAGAGUAAAGCAAGGCCAUGUGCAUUAAACAUGCAGACUUGGAUAUUUUUUAUUUGCUUUGAUCAGUCAUUCUGACUGGUCUCUUUCAACAAGUAGUAACUAGACAGAUAGUUGUUGAUAAGCUGUGGUAAGUUACACUAGCAGUCUCAAACAAGACAGCCGGAACUACCAAGUCAAAGCAUUAAGCCUUUCAGAAUUAGUUGUGUGUGAGGACUGCUUGUUUCUAGCUAGGUAGUAACUUAUUCUAAUACUCUGUUAUGUGAGGUCAUACUCACGGCAUACUACUAAAAUACUAUGUUGGUUUAUCUUUGCGUGGCCAUUUUCCUUAAACAUAAGCUAACACAUGCAGUUUUCGCACAUCUUGGUAACUCUGGUUUAUUUGUACAGCCAAAAUAUAUUUAAUUUAAAUCCACUUUUUAUGUAGAAAGGUUAUUUUUUCUGUAGUAUUUGUUUCGAUUUGUAGAAUUUCAGUUUCAUAAUACACAUGAACAGAAUGCGUGAUGUGGUGAAUGAUUUGCUUAGUACGGUGGUUAUGACAGCCAUGAUAGUACAGUUGGAUAUUUUUUAUAGCAUUCUUUUGUAUCUCAGACUGUUUGUUCAACUGGUGAUGAUUUUAUGGGCAUGUAUUGUUGUUUGUAGAUAUUUCGCAAGGAACCAUUUUUCUACGGCCAUGAAAACCAUCAUCAACUUGUUAGGAUUGCAAAGGUGCUUAUUCGGUUUAUUCCAUUUAUUCAUUGAAAAUAUAGUUAUAACUGGUUAAGGAUUGUUUUUCAUGUUUUACUCCUCACGCACUGUUUUAUAUGGAUUCUUUGGUGGCAUCUGAUAUUGUUUAGACUUGCCAUAUACCAUUUGCUAUUACUUACCUUAGUGACCGAGUGGUUGUGGUUCAAUGUUUUGAUGAAUUGUACUGUGCACAAAUAAGUUACCACCUCAUUGUUUCACGUUAAGAGCUCUAAAUUCUGACAACACUCCUGCAUUGACAUGUACUUGGAACAAAUGGGCUAAAUGCUUAUUUGAACAAAUACAAAAUUGAGCUUGACCCUCAACUUGAAGCCCUUGUUGGAAGGUAUAUUGCCACUCAGCAGUCAUUUUGAUGAUGCAAGAUCUCAAUUUGCCAUUUGAUUUAUAGAUUGACCAUGCAAUUAUACUUUCUUUUCUCAUCUUGAACUCCUAGGUGCUGCAUGAUGUGUUUGAGCAUCUGGUUUGUAGAUAGAUUGAUUAGUGUGGUUGCUUUGAGGAUGUCAUGUUACAAUGGUUGUUGUUCUAUUUUUUGAAGGUUCAAUGCAGGCCCAUCCAUACUUCCUCCAGGAGAGGGCUGCCGAAAAUAGCAGGACUUGUGCGCAAUAGCAAUAAUUAUCUUGAGAUUGAACGAGUAGCGCUUGACGAAGCUGAAUUAGUCUCAGUCUCCUUGCAUUGAGCACCCCUAGUAAGUAAAUUAGAUGAACCAUGAGCUUUAGUGUCUAUGAGUUGAUGUCAUUGUUGACCUUAGCCUACUUUAUUUCCCUCGGUUAGGUACUGCAAAUGGUAAAUGUAGCAAUACUUAUGGAAAAUCUUGUCAACACAAGCAGUCUUCUCAGUUAUGGUGUUGAUAUGAAUUAGGGAUGGCACGCAGGGUUUGGGUGGAGCCACCCCAUACCCUUACCCGUCCCCUCUAAGCUUAG